This 253-nucleotide ribosomal RNA is filed under the name uncultured bacterium. RNAcentral describes it as "partial 16S ribosomal RNA". It matches the Rfam family "Bacterial small subunit ribosomal RNA", at positions 524 to 776 of the family's 1533-position model. The record is from RNAcentral.
UACGUAGGGUGCAAGCGUUGUCCGGAAUUAUUGGGCGUAAAGAGCUCGUAGGCGGUUUGUCGCGUCUGCUGUGAAAACCCGAGGCUCAACCUCGGGCCUGCAGUGGGUACGGGCAGACUAGAGGGCGGUAGGGGAGAUUGGAAUUCCUGGUGUAGCGGUGGAAUGCGCAGAUAUCAGGAGGAACACCAAUGGCGAAGGCAGAUCUCUGGGCCGUAACUGACGCUGAGGAGCGAAAGCAUGGGGAGCGAACAGG